CGCUUUGAGGAUUGACAGUUAUUGUAUAGUUCUGAUAUGGGUGGUAUUUGUAGUCAACGUGUAGGUAGUUGUAUAUUAAAUAUGAAAGUUCUUUUAUGAUUAUGUGAUAGGUGGUGCAUGGCCGUCCUUAAUUCGUGGAGUGAUUUGUCUGCUUAAUUGCGCAUUGCAAAUUGUAAUUGAUCUUUUACCAGUCUCGUUCUGAUUUAUGUUGUAAUAUUGUAGAAUAUUGUUGUCGUCGAGUCAUUAUUGCCACUACGUCUGGUCCUUUGGGGGCAGAAUAGUGUUGUAUAUUUUGUCUUGUCAACACAAAAUUCUUCACAAUAUUGUAGCCGUACUUGAUUGUAUGCGCUAUUCAUGUAUAUGUGGUUAGUCAACACCAGUUCGGCUGCUUGCACACAUCGCCAUCUCAACAUGAUCAGUCAGGCUGCUAGAGACCUUGUGUCUUGCCCCAAAGGUUGAUUAACACCGUGAGUGCAACGAGUGAGAUUGCAAGCCUUUGUUAUGUAGUGAACAACAUAUACCUACUACUACUACUAUUUUGUAGUAAUGUAGGAUUCCAACUACACAGAAUAACCAUUAAGGUGAAAUGAACUCAGGCGACUGCUAUACUUUAAGAUGGUGGAAGGUUGUGGCAAUGACAGGUCUGUGAUGCCCUUUAGAUGUUCAAGGCUGCACACGUACUACAUUGAUCUAGUCAACGAGUAUGUAUGUAACAUUGAUUUUGCAUCUAUUGGUUAAGCUAUAAUGUAUUUCGGUAACGUUAAUUCAGAACUUCGAGAAGGUUCCGACAACAGUCAAUCUAGUUAUUGCUUGUAGUUGUUAAUUGUAUAAUUGUCUAGUUCAC
This 844-nucleotide ribosomal RNA is filed under the name Turborotalita quinqueloba. RNAcentral's name for it is "partial small subunit ribosomal RNA". It matches the Rfam family "Eukaryotic small subunit ribosomal RNA", at positions 1229 to 1608 of the family's 1831-position model. The record is from RNAcentral. Lineage: Eukaryota; Foraminifera; Rotaliida; Globigerinidae.